GGGGAAUUUUGGACAAUGGGCGCAAGCCUGAUCCAGCCAUGCCGCGUGCGGGAAGAAGGCCUUCGGGUUGUAAACCGCUUUUGUCAGGGAAGAAACGCUCUGGGCUAAUACCCUGGGGUAAUGACGGUACCUGAAGAAUAAGCACCGGCUAACUACGUGCCAGCAGCCGCGGUAAUACGUAGGGUGCAAGCGUUAAUCGGAAUUACUGGGCGUAAAGCGUGCGCAGGCGGUUAUGCAAGACAGAUGUGAAAUCCCCGGGCUUAACCUGGGAACUGCAUUUGUGACUGCAUAGCUGGAGUACGGCAGAGGGGGAUGGAAUUCCGCGUGUAGCAGUGAAAUGCGUAGAUAUGCGGAGGAACACCGAUGGCGAAGGCAAUCCCCUGGGCCUGUACUGACGCUCAUGCACGAAAGCGUGGGGAGCAAACAGGA
This 429-nucleotide ribosomal RNA is filed under the name uncultured Comamonas sp. Its description in RNAcentral is "bacterial SSU rRNA". It matches the Rfam family "Bacterial small subunit ribosomal RNA", at positions 356 to 777 of the family's 1533-position model. Lineage: Bacteria; Pseudomonadati; Pseudomonadota; Betaproteobacteria; Burkholderiales; Comamonadaceae. The record is from RNAcentral.